UACGAAGGGAGCUAGCGUUGUUCGGAAUCACUGGGCGUAAAGCGCACGUAGGCGGAUUUGUCAGUCAGGGGUGAAAUCCCUCAGCUUAACUGGGGAACUGCGUCUGAUACUGGAUGGCUUGAGUUUGGGAGAGGGAUGCGGAAUUCCAGGUGUAGCGGUGAAAUGCGUAGAUAUCUGGAGGAACACCGGUGGCGAAGGCGGCAUCCUGGACCAACACUGACACUGAGGAGCGAAAGCCGGGGGAGCAAACGGG
This 253-nucleotide ribosomal RNA is filed under the name uncultured prokaryote. RNAcentral describes it as "partial 16S ribosomal RNA". It matches the Rfam family "Bacterial small subunit ribosomal RNA", at positions 524 to 776 of the family's 1533-position model. The record is from RNAcentral.